CGUUCUAAAAAACCCAACUUGCAGUGUGCAGAGCCAUUGGACCUGACAGUGGGUGGCACAGUGGAUUUGUAAAGAAUCAACGCUGCACCUAUGAAUAUGACUGGAGAGAGUAUCAGGCCAAUAGUUAUGAGGUGCUGGUUGAUCCGUGUGGAGGACGUGGUUGGAAAUGGAUGGAAGGGACACAGUGGAACAUGGUCUCAUAUGGUGAAUCAAAAAGGUUUCCUGGAGUCAAAUACUACGUGUGUAGUGCGACACGUGAUGGCCUUGUAGGGAAGCUUUUCAGGACGCGACAAGGAUUUAUGUGCCAUAUUGCCAAGGACAAUACCAGAGAUGGAAGUUUCUAUGCUUUGGUUCCACAACCAUGUGCCUGAAGAACGAUACAUGGUUGUGAUUCACUGUUCAGUGCUCAAGUUUCUCUAGUUCAUUUUUCAAGCUUUAAAUUGGUAAAGGUGCUGUAUUUAUCUUUCGCAAGACAUACUAGACCUAAAUGCAUAGAAGUUUCUAACUCUCGCAAAACAUUUAAGAAAGUGGCACAAACACAUAUUGUUAUUGUUAGUCUUUUUAUUCAGUUAUUUUGCAUUGGGAUCUUUUUAGGAUUAAAAAGAGUUCAAAAACAUAUUGUCUAUUAAUAUUUGAUGAAAGUGAACUAAUGGAGUACAGUACAUUCCCACCUACAGGAUAUGCUAUGUACAUCUGCAGUAAAACCCAAUGUUCUCUGCACAGUCAAUAUAUAUAUGAACUCAGUGCCAUAAUGUCCUUUGCUGCCAUCAUGAUGUAAAAAUUUGAAAGUGUGCAAAUUUCAAUUACAAAUAAGUGCAUUAAUGUAUGUUACUAGCUUCAUAUCGUUUGUCUUGCUACAGUUAUUAUUAUGCAUGAAUUUUAUGAUAUAAAUAUUAAUAUAUCAUAUAUAUCAUAUUAAUAAAAAAAAUAUUCUUUUUUAUUAGUGCAACAGACUAUAUUUCUAUCCUUCAAAACCUUGUUUUCGUUUGCAUUAAAACCAUAAAACAUCAAC
Molecule: long non-coding RNA, 1012 nt
Organism: Cyprinus carpio (common carp)
Lineage: Eukaryota; Metazoa; Chordata; Actinopteri; Cypriniformes; Cyprinidae
Exons: 3
Source: RefSeq, a predicted model, not a curated record